RNAcentral lists this ribosomal RNA (253 nucleotides) under uncultured bacterium. Its description in RNAcentral is "partial 16S ribosomal RNA". It matches the Rfam family "Bacterial small subunit ribosomal RNA", at positions 524 to 776 of the family's 1533-position model. The record is from RNAcentral.
UACGAAGGGGGCUAGCGUUGCUCGGAAUCACUGGGCGUAAAGCGCACGUAGGCGGCUUAGCAAGUCGGAUGUGAAAUCCCUCGGCUCAACCAAGGAAGUGCAUCCGAAACUGCUGAGCUUGAGUACGAAAGAGGAUCGCGGAAUUCCCGGUGUAGAGGUGAAAUUCGUAGAUAUCGGGAGGAACACCAGUGGCGAAGGCGGCGAUCUGGGUCGAUACUGACGCUGAGGUGCGAAAGCGUGGGGAGCAAACAGG